This 28-nucleotide non-coding RNA is filed under the name Rattus norvegicus (Norway rat). Lineage: Eukaryota; Metazoa; Chordata; Mammalia; Rodentia; Muridae. The record is from RNAcentral.
UGCUGAGUCCCCAAUAGAAGCCUGAGGU